Long non-coding RNA from Stegastes partitus (bicolor damselfish), 3228 nucleotides. RefSeq lists it as uncharacterized. NCBI's taxonomy places the organism in Eukaryota, Metazoa, Chordata, Actinopteri, Pomacentridae. The record is from RefSeq and is a predicted model, not a curated record. The transcript is spliced from 3 exons.
ACACCGGGUCAGCCCUCAGUUCUUGGCCGGUGGAGGCAUCGCCUCUCUCGGCUUGCGUUUUUACAAUGUCGCCUUCGGAGAAACCAACCUGUCCACAGACUCACUGUCUUAAUACUCACCUUUAUACAGAGGAUCAGCUCUCCACAUUUAGGCUACACUGUCUUUUAGAACAACUCACAACAGUAAAUCCACGACUCGCUGCUCAUGCUCUGCAUUCCGGAGAGAUUUAUUUCAAAGAGCUGCUGCUCUCUCGGUCGCUCUCUAUAAUAACAGACUUUGUAGCUAAUUAUUCCAUCGGUUGUUUUGACGCUUAGGCUGGAUUUGCCUCACACUAGUCCAUGCUAUGUUAGCUGUGUGUACACAGACUUCAGCCUCAAACAGCCUCGGCUUCCCCAGGCGAGAGCCGCGUAUCUGUGCGUCUUCCUCAUCGGGCUGACGGGGACGCAGCAGCAGCAGCAGCAGCAGCAGCAGCCGCAGCGACGGCGGUAGCAGCUAAUAAAGGCUGGAACAGACAAACCCUGAUGCUGCGUGGAGCAAAAAAGAGGAAUGAUGGUGGGUGAAUUCUGAGAGAAAAAUCAGGGAGAAAGAAAAGCGAUGUGUUGACAGCGUGCAGAAAUUGAAUUAGCAGCCUGAGCGCCGGGAACAUUGAAUCCUAUUAGGAGCAGCAGAGGAGCAGCUACCUGCAGGCCUCGGCUCUCAGCAGCUCCCUCAGGACCAGAGUCCUGCAGCAGCAGCAGCAGCAGCAGCAGCAGCUCGGAUCAUCACAGCCCUCAUCGGCACCCGGAGCUGGAAGGAUCCGAUCUGAGGAAGUCACAUUUAUUGUUACACAUUUUGAAUACUGCAAAAAACACCCGGAAGUGUCAGCUUAAAACAACGAGAUGUGAAAUGAUUUAAAAUGGAAAUAGUGGAGUUUGAUAAAGUUUCAAGUCAUGUUGCCAUGAAAGUUGGUGAUAAACUGAAAUAUCGAAAAUGACUUUUUCUUAAAGAGUGAGUUCAGGCAGCUUCAUCUUUUAUGAAGCAUGAAACCAGAAGUCUAAAGCAUGCAAAAAGGAUCGACAUAUCUUCAGAUGAGGCUGCACAAUGAAUGAAAGAAUUGAGAUGAAGGUGAACCUAUAGAUGUGACUUGAGCUCCGUGAGGCUCCCAGCAGCGCUGCUCUGGCUCUGAUCAGCAGCACAAACAUGGCAGAUGAAACUGAAAUGAAACUGAAUCUGAUGCAGAAAAAAAAUCCUGCUCAUGUUCCGGAUUCUCGUCUAAUCUCCAUCUAACCUGCCCGCACAUCGGUGAGCACAUCUCCAGCUUUGUCCUGGACGAGCUGCGGCUGAUUGAGAGUCCUCCUGGUGACAAAGCUGUGAGUGUGCCAGCGGCUCUCAAAGUGUGGCUCACGGACCUGCGGCGGUCCUGAAGGAGCACUGAUGUAGGACAAAGCAGCAGCUUCAUUUUAGCAUCGUUUCACCUGCCAGCAAUCAUCCUGCUGACAGAACAGAGUCUGAAAGGGACUAUCGUAGCCAGAAAUUCCGGUUUUAGUGAAGUGCGCAGUUCAGCAGCAGAGAUCAGAUGAAACUCUAGUUUUACAGGCGUGAACACCUGUUGCACACUCAACACACUGCUGUAUGCACCCGCAGAAAAACAAGGGUUCCUAAAUGGUUCCUCAGAAGGCUGUUGAAGAACCUCUGUAUGUAGUGGGUGGUUCUUCACAUACUGUUUGUUUUCUUUUGAAGAACUGAAGGUUCUUUGAUUUUACUGGAGUUAUUUGGCAGCAAGAAAAAAGCUGGAAAUUACAGCUGCAACCAAAAAUAAUGAUUAUUAACACUUAUUGUUGCACAUUUUUUCACUAUUAAUUGAUCCUUUGGUCUAUGAAACAUCAGAAAAUCCAAAGCUGGCAUCUUGUAAUGUGUGUUUCUAUCUAACUGAGAACUCAGUAUUUUAAAUGUGGUGAAAUGGAAGCCCCCAGAAAAGCAUUUACAAUUCAUACUGAUAUAUAUAUAAAUAAAUCAAUGUUUCUAUUGCAGUCAAAUGCAUUUAGUGUUUCUUGAUUUUUAGUUUGCAUCCAUAACUUUGUUGGAGGUUUUAGGGCUCAGAUUGACUGUUUCUGUGUUUGGCUGAUAAGUCUGUUAGACUUUGUGCUUCUCUGAAAAUUAAUUUUUAAAAACCUGACUUUACUGUAAUUAAAUAGAGUGAAUUGGAAAGUUAAUAAAUGGCCAAUAAUUAUGUUCAUGAGUAUCACUUUCAACCUGUCGAUAAUAAUUGAAUUUAAAAUCAUCAAAGAACCAUUUACUUUGAAAAAAAACCCCCAAAACAAAACAAUUAAAAACCGGCUAAAAAGAAGUUCUUUACACGAAGAACAGUUUUAUGAAUGGCUCCAUGAAGAAGCUCAUUUUGUUAAAGUUCUAAAGUGCCUCAAAGAGCCACUUUUUUAAGGUGAGACACCUUUGGAGCUUCUUUAAAGAACUGAUUGCAGAAAAGGCUCUUUAAAGAAUCUCUUCCUAAAAGGUGUUUAAAAUGCUUCUGUUCCAGUUAGCACCUUUAUUAUUAUUAUCAUGAUUAUCAUUGCGUGUACAGUUGGUGUUUUACAGCUGCUACUGCGGGACUUUCACAUGGUUGCUGGAUCAUUUUAAUGAUUUAAUUCCUACCUUAAUUAAGGAUGGACCAACUGAAAACCUCUAAACUCCUUCCUGUCUGUGUUUCAGUCUGUCGCUCUCAGGACAGACUGGCUGCUGGUUCAGGGUUCCACAUGAAGACGAUGAGCUGGUGGUGUCCUCAGGAAGUUGGGACUCAGCAGCAAGCAUUCUUCUGCUGCACAUUUCCUGGCAAGAGGUCGGAUGUCAGGACCUGGAAAGUUUAAAUUUUGCUCCAGUUUACAUUUCAGGGAGCUGAUUCUGUUAUCUACAAUGACUCAGUGAGCAGGGACUGACAGGACAAAUGUCUGUCUGAGUCAAUGCUAGAACACACUGCUGCAAAGGUUAAAGCUCAGUAAUUCAGAAAUUCUCCCCAUUUACUGCCACAACAAGGUCUGCUUAUUAAAAACUCCUUAAAUAUUUAAAUUAAUUUUUUACAGACAUGUAAUUAUUUUUGUGUGUGUGUAGUAUGUAGUUUGUUAUUCAUGACAUAUUCUGUUCCUAAUGGUGAGGGAGACUUCCUCUGUGUUUAUAAUUUGUACCUCUGAAGAUAUUCAACAAUGUCAAGUGUUUGUAAGAACAUGGUGAAAUAAAACAACUUUCAAUUGCAAA